GGGCCCGUGGUCUAACUGGCAUGACGCCGCCCUUGCACGGCGGAGGCUGUGGGUUCGAAUCCCACCGGGUCCA
RNAcentral lists this transfer RNA (73 nucleotides) under Nanobdellota archaeon. RNAcentral describes it as "tRNA-Ala". It matches the Rfam family "tRNA". From Rfam's summary of the family: Transfer RNA (tRNA) molecules are approximately 80 nucleotides in length. Their secondary structure includes four short double-helical elements and three loops (D, anti-codon, and T loops). The record is from RNAcentral. RNAcentral also lists the same sequence under 1 other name. Lineage: Archaea; Nanobdellati; Nanobdellota.